Molecule: ribosomal RNA, 468 nt
Filed under: uncultured bacterium
Lineage: Bacteria
Description: partial 16S ribosomal RNA
Rfam family: Bacterial small subunit ribosomal RNA
Source: RNAcentral
GACGAACGCUGGCGGCGUGCUUAACACAUGCAAGUCGAACGGAAAGGCCCUGCUUUUGUGGGGUGCUCGAGUGGCGAACGGGUGAGUAACACGUGAGUAACCUGCCCUUGACUUUGGGAUAACUUCAGGAAACUGGGGCUAAUACCGGAUAGGAGCUCCUGCUGCAUGGUGGGGGUUGGAAAGUUUCGGCGGUUGGGGAUGGACUCGCGGCUUAUCAGCUUGUUGGUGGGGUAGUGGCUUAUCAAGGCUUUGACGGGUAGCCGGCCUGAGAGGGUGACCGGCCACAUUGGGACUGAGAUACGGCUCAGACUCCUACGGGAGGCAGCAGUGGGGAAUAUUGCACAAUGGGCGGAAGCCUGAUGCAGCAACGCCGCGUGCGGGAUGACGGCCUUCGGGUUGUAAACCGCUUUCGCCUGUGACGAAGCGUGAGUGACGGUAAUGGGUAAAGAAGCACCGGCUAACUACGUG